This 445-nucleotide ribosomal RNA is filed under the name uncultured bacterium. RNAcentral describes it as "partial 16S ribosomal RNA". It matches the Rfam family "Bacterial small subunit ribosomal RNA", at positions 354 to 796 of the family's 1533-position model. The record is from RNAcentral.
GUGAGGAAUAUUGGUCAAUGGGCGGGAGCCUGAACCAGCCAAGUCGCGUGAAGGAAGAAGGAUCUAUGGUUCGUAAACUUCUUUUGCAGGGGAAUAAAGUGCAGGACGUGUCCUGUUUUGUAUGUACCCUGAGAAUAAGGAUCGGCUAACUCCGUGCCAGCAGCCGCGGUAAUACGGAGGAUCCGAGCGUUAUCCGGAUUUAUUGGGUUUAAGGGGUGCGUAGGUGGUUUGAUAAGUCAGCGGUGAAAGUUUGCAGCUUAACUGUAAAAAUGCCGUUGAAACUGUCGGACUUGAGUGUAAAUGAGGUAGGCGGAAUGCGUGGUGUAGCGGUGAAAUGCAUAGAUAUCACGCAGAACUCCGAUUGCGAAGGCAGCUUACUAAGCUACAACUGACACUGAAGCACGAAAGCGUGGAGAUCAAACAGGAUUAGAAACCCCGGUAGUCC